CUUUGGUCUUAUUUUGUUGGUUUCUAAGACUGAAGUAAUGAUUAAUAGGGAUAGUUGGGGGCAUUAGUAUUUAAUUGUCAGAGGUGAAAUUCUUGGAUUUAUGAAAGACUAACUUCUGCGAAAGCAUUUGCCAAGGAUGUUUUCAUUGAUCAAGAACGAAAGUUAGGGGAUCGAAGACGAUCAGAUACCGUCGUAGUCUUAACCAUAAACUAUGCCAACUGCGGAUUGGGCGAGUAUACUUUUAUGUCUCGCUCAGCACGCUAUGAGAAAUCAAAGUUUUUGGGUUCCGGGGGGAGUAUGGUCGCAAGGCUGAAACUUAAAGGGAUUGACGGAAGGGCACCACCAGGAGUGGAGCCUGCGGCUUAAUUUGACUCAACACGGGGAAACUCACCAGGUCCAGA
Molecule: ribosomal RNA, 401 nt
Filed under: uncultured fungus
Lineage: Eukaryota; Fungi
Description: SSU rRNA
Rfam family: Eukaryotic small subunit ribosomal RNA
Source: RNAcentral